This 484-nucleotide ribosomal RNA is filed under the name uncultured bacterium. RNAcentral's name for it is "bacterial SSU rRNA". It matches the Rfam family "Bacterial small subunit ribosomal RNA", at positions 28 to 507 of the family's 1533-position model. The record is from RNAcentral.
GAUGAACGCUAGCGGCAGGCCUAAUACAUGCAAGUCGAACGGUAAGUUGAGUAGCAAUAUUUGACCAAGAGUGACGUAAGGGUGCGUAACACGUAUGCAAUCUACCCUGUACAGGUGAAUAGCUCGGGGAAACUCGAAUUAACACACCGUAAUAUUGAGGUGAGGCAUCUCACUUCGAUUAAAACUGAGGUGGUACAGGAUGAGCAUGCGCAUGAUUAGUUAGUUGGCGGGGUAACGGCCCACCAAGACGAUGAUCAUUAGGGGAACUGAGAGGGAGAUCCCCCACACUGGUACUGAGACACGGACCAGACUCCUACGGGAGGCAGCAGUGAGGAAUAUUGGUCAAUGGGCGCAAGCCUGAACCAGCCAUGCCGCGUGCAGGAUGAAGCAUCUAUGGUGUGUAAACUGCUUUUGUACGGGAAGAAACCCUUGCUUGAGAGCAAGAUUGACGGUACCGUAAGAAUAAGGAUCGGCUAACUCCGUG